RNAcentral lists this long non-coding RNA (348 nucleotides) under Cyanistes caeruleus (blue tit). RNAcentral's name for it is "lncRNA (ENSCCEG00000007655.1)". The record is from RNAcentral. Lineage: Eukaryota; Metazoa; Chordata; Aves; Passeriformes; Paridae.
AUGAAAGAAGCGAAAAUAGGAAGGGAGAUUGAGGGGACCACACAAGUGAGUGUGAGAUCAGGACAUGCAGGAAGUCUGAAGGAUGAAGAAUCUGGCAUGAUAAUGACUGAAGUAUUGACUAAAAGCCCAAAGUCUUUAUUGAAAUCAGGACCUCCUGACUUGGGAAUGCACAGAAUUACCAAGCUCCACAUGUAUGUACAUAGAUCAGAAAAAUUCACGGCUCUGUCAGAGCCAAAAAAUAGCAGUGAAUCCUGUGAAGGCAGCAGUGAGAUCCUUGUUUUAGAGAUGACAGGACAGAGGCGUGAAGAGGUUUCCCUGGUUGCUUUGGGAAGGGAAUUCCACAGCUAG